Molecule: ribosomal RNA, 254 nt
Filed under: uncultured bacterium
Lineage: Bacteria
Description: partial 16S ribosomal RNA
Rfam family: Bacterial small subunit ribosomal RNA
Source: RNAcentral
CACGUAGGGUGCAAGCGUUGUCCGGAAUCAUUGGGCGUAAAGAGCUCGUAGGCGGCUUAGUAAGUCGGGUGUGAAAACCCCAGGCUCAACCUGGGGACGCCACCCGAUACUGCUAUAGCUAGAGUCCAGUAGGGGAGUGUGGAAUUCCCAGUGUAGCGGUGAAAUGCGCAGAUAUUGGGAGGAACACCAGCGGCGAGGGCGGCACUCUGGGCUGGUACUGACGCUGAGGAGCGAAAGCGUGGGGAGCGAACAGG